Molecule: ribosomal RNA, 399 nt
Filed under: uncultured bacterium
Lineage: Bacteria
Description: partial 16S ribosomal RNA
Rfam family: Bacterial small subunit ribosomal RNA
Source: RNAcentral
AAUCUUCCGCAAUGGGCGAAAGCCUGACGGAGCGACGCCGCGUGAGGGAAGAAGGCCUUCGGGUCGUAAACCUCUGUCGUGAGGGAAGAAGGGAGUGACGGUACCUCACAAGGAAGCCCCGGCUAACUACGUGCCAGCAGCCGCGGUAAUACGUAGGGGGCGAGCGUUGUCCGGAAUUACUGGGCGUAAAGGGAGCGUAGGCGGCUACUUAAGUCCCGUGUGAAAUGCUUCGGCUUAACCGAGGAGGGCCACGGGAAACUGGAUAGCUUGAGUACCGGAGAGGGUAGUGGAAUUCCCAGUGUAGCGGUGGAAUGCGUAGAUAUUGGGAGGAACACCAGUGGCGAAGGCGACUACCUGGACGAAAACUGACGCUGAGGCACGAAAGCUAGGGGAGCAAAC